RNAcentral lists this long non-coding RNA (1804 nucleotides) under Fukomys damarensis (Damara mole-rat). RNAcentral's name for it is "lncRNA (ENSFDAG00000030248.1)". The record is from RNAcentral. Lineage: Eukaryota; Metazoa; Chordata; Mammalia; Rodentia; Bathyergidae.
GUUAGUGGACUUGACAGCUAGUGGUGACUAGAAAGACGUGUAUAGGCGGUUUUAUUAUCAUCAUAGUUUAUGUAACUCAUACCCUAGAGUCUUGGCGUCUACAACCUGCACACCCUACCUUGACGGCCAGUGGAUUAAAGGACGACAUCAACAUCUCCCAGAAGCCUCAGAGAUAGAUGGGAGAAGGGAUGAAUUUCCGUGGUUGUUAAAUUGUUAUUUUAAUAGGACGGAGGUUGAGAUUAUUUGCACAUCACAUCAAAGGCCCAUGCACUUACACAUGGGAGUCUGCGGUCUAUGUCUGGACUGGUGUGGUUUACUGAACACAAAAACCACCCCCUCUUCAAGCGGGUGAGGGUGGGAGGAAGCGCUUUCUCCCUAGUGCCAGGAGCUAGAUGAUGCCCCUGGUUGUUAGGAUGGAGUCCACAUAGCUCUCACUGGGUGUAGCCCCUCUUCCAAAAAGAUGCGGGUUUGCCUUGGGCUGAGGACCGAGUUGGGUCCUGAGAUGCUGACUGGAGGAGCUCAGGGCCUCCCUGGUCCCAGCUAACGGCUCUGGGCAUGGUGAGGGCCUGUGGUUCCUUGCGACCCUAAAUGUGUCAGGGGCAGCCGGGCUAGGGGGUCCUGGGAAGUCUUGUCGUUGGUGCUCCAGCUCCUGUCCUCCCACCCAGCCACAGCCGGGCCCCCAAGGGUCAGGGCACAGACGACCGCAAAGGCCAGGGAGGAGGCUGCCGCAUUCAUUCCUCCUCUGGGCCGGCGGCGUUACCACCUCUCUCUGGGAGUGCGAGCCAGAGCGCAGGGAGCCUCCGGCUGCUUAUUGAAGGUGUGUGCGCGCGUGCGUGUGUGCGCGUGUGCGCGCGUGCGUGGAGAGAGCGAAGUGCGUUGAAAAAUGAAUGCGUCCCUUUUCCAAUUUCCCCGCAGCUCCCACCUCCCAGCCUGCUCGUCGGGGCAGGUGGANNNNNNNNNNNNNNNNNNNNNNNNNNNNNNNNNNNNNNNNNNNNNNNNNNNNNNNNNNNNNNNNNNNNNNNNNNNCGCCUCCGCCCUCCCCCAGCCUCCGUCGCUCAGCCCCGCCGGCUCCCAGUCCACCGCGUUCCCGGAGAGGAGGAGACGGAGGAGGACGACGGACGUCAGGGCCAAGUAUGGGAGGAGGCAGCCAGUCAGCGACCAGACCUGCUCUGAUCCCACCCAGGACCACUACCAACCUAGGUGCUGCCUAAGCCAAAAGCCCAGGACGUACCCACUGUGUUUCCUCCAUCACCCACGCAUUUUCUUAGGUACCCAGCUUUGUUUAUUCUACACCAACACAUUUUCAAAACAAAUGCUUAUUGAAAACUCUAUUACAUGCCAGGCAGCAUUGUCAGAGCAAUCACCCGAGUCAGGCAUCACUGCCCACCUUUAAUAGAUGAGGAGACUAAGAAAUGUAUGCAUUGCAGAUAUGUACUCUUUUCUGUAUUUCCAAAGCCACUGUACUUUCUGCACGUGUCCCUCAACAGUCCAGGAAUUCUCUGAGAUCAGGAAUCGGAUUGUGCCCUAGUGCCUGGCAAAGUACUUCACCCUCCGUGGGAAAUUAAUGAGGGAUCAUUGAUGGAAAGCUGGAAGGAAGGAAGGAAAGGGGGAAGGAAAGGAGGGCAGGGAGGGUGAUGUGAAGCAGGUUCAUUGUGCGCUGGUCACCAGCUUGCUUGAGUCCAACCCAGGACACGUUCCACAACAACAAGGGAUUUCUGUCCAUAGACAGCAAGGGAUUCUCCAGAAAGGAGCCCAGGGCAAAUGGAAUCGCAGCUGUAGAUGUCCCACUUGCACUGCGACUGAG